AAUGCACGGCUCAAACACAUGACACUGAAAUCAAGACCUGAGGAAUACUUUUGAUGGGAUCCAGAACAUGUUCUCCUUUGAGAUUGCCGAGAAGCUGCAAGUGGCAUCACUGCCUGGUGCUGGAGAAGCAUGUGGUUGUUUCUGUGCAGUUCAUGCUGUUCUCUCUUCCUCCAUGGCUGUGAUUGGAAUCUUCAUACUAUGCCUGCUCUGAGAAAAAAAAAUCUAGAGAUAGAUGGAGUAGCAGAUUGGUACCAAAUAUACUUUGAGAAUAACAGAAAGGAUACACCACUGGAAAAGAGAAUUGGGACAAUCUAGAUAGUCACUUUCUCUCUUGCUUUGCUAUAGCUAUGUCCCAUUUGAUAAUACUUCUGUUCCUCAUUUCAUUUAUUUAUGCCUCUAAUAGCAGAAACUGUUGCACAUCACUGACAGGGUAAUUCUGGGGCUGGUCCUUAGCCCUGAAGAAGACUGGUUCAUAGUUUGUCAAAUGUUAUAUCAGGACUGGGGGCAUUUUGCAUGUUCACCCAGAUGUGGGGUCUUUUCUGGGAAAGAAUUUCAGUCUUCCUGGAAGCAUGGAAAUAGAGGUGAAUAAUCACUGUCAUUAUCCUUAGCAAAUUAUCAAUGGCCAGUAGAAAUAUAAAGCUACCAGAGUUUCUGUGAAGAAAUCUGGCAAGUAACCAAGCUAGAGUGUCAAAGGUGGGCUCAAUCUGUAGAAAAUCACUUCGCCAAUCUUCAUCCAAGUGCACACUAAACUAUGGAAGACACAGAUCCUGCAUACUCAGGGGGUAAAAUCCUGUGUUGUCCAUGUAUAUCACAUAGUCCUGGAUCUGAACUGUGUGAGCAGGGAAUCUACCUCUAUCCUGUAGUUGACUAGAGAAGGUAAGUCCUGGGUCACAUGGGUUUCAUGUGUGAAUGAGAUUCCAUUGUUGAUGCCUUAAUUUAUUUUUUUAAGUUUGUUUAUUUUGAGAGCGCGUGCACAAAUGGGAAAGGGGCAGAGAGAGGGAGAA
This is a long non-coding RNA of Suricata suricatta (meerkat), 1004 nucleotides long. RefSeq lists it as uncharacterized. Lineage: Eukaryota; Metazoa; Chordata; Mammalia; Carnivora; Herpestidae. The transcript is spliced from 4 exons. The record is from RefSeq and is a predicted model, not a curated record.